RNAcentral lists this long non-coding RNA (7447 nucleotides) under Malus domestica (apple). RNAcentral's name for it is "long non-coding RNA (MDOM_LNC005292)". Lineage: Eukaryota; Viridiplantae; Streptophyta; Magnoliopsida; Rosales; Rosaceae. The record is from RNAcentral.
AUACGUAAUAUUUGAGGAUUAUUGGAACUUACGGAUUGGGAAUCCGAGUUACGGAUCUUCCGGAAUUGGAAUUGUAAGUCCAUAAUAUAAAAUGUUAACCGUCACUUAGUUUUGGAAAUUGACGGAGAUCCGACCGUUGGAUGGUAAUGAAAUUUUAGGAUGUUGUCCUAGAGGUAUAAUGUGGACCUCUGGAAGUUAUGGAUUUAAAAUCUGAGGGGUGGAUCUUCCGGAUCAAUCUACGUAGUGACGUAUUUUAUAUAAGUUAUAUAUUCUAUCGAUAUGAAUUCUGAGGUUGGAAUUGAUUAUUGUUUUAGGCGCCCGAUCGUCAUGACGCCUUGGCGUAUUGUGCUAGGGAGUUGUAGGGCGAACUCCAGGUGAGUGGGCAGUUUUGUUUUCCGUAUAUAUAUAUAUAUACUUAACGUUUUCCCAGAAAUUGAAAAUGCAUGAAAUUAUGUUUAAAAUGAAAUGCAUAUGAGUUAUGUGGAAAAACGGGAAGUGAAAUACCAUGCAUAGAAUUGAUAUGAAAAGUAUAUAGAAAUGUGAGUUGAAAUGUCAUGCAUGAAUUUAAUAUAUGAUGCAUAUGUAUGAAUUGGUGCGGUGGACGCACAGGUAAGAAUUGAUUUAUGAUGCAUAUGUAUGAAAUGGUGCGGUGGACGCACAGAUGAGUAUUUAAUUACUGUUAUGAUGAUGAUGAUAUAUAUUGAGCUCAAAUCCUGCACCAUGGUUUAGUGCUUAUAGUAUUCACCGCAUCGCACGCUCGCCUUGGAUCCAAGUAGAUGCUAGUCGUACAGUCCACGCGGAGUGGGUACGACAGACCAGUCGCGAGAGUGUUAGUGAGAUUCCGGCUGGUGGGUGACCUUAGAUUAUGUGCACAGAUGAUUUAUGAGAAGCACUAGAGCGUAACUUGUGUGCAGAAGGCCGGACGGGUCACAGAGGUGACUCCGGUAGAGUGAUAAUGAUAGAUUUUGAGCUUUAGGUUCAACCGUAUAGGGCUAUUAGAGGGCCUACGGUUGAUUACUUUCUUGCACCUGAUAUGAUUAUGUUGAUGCAUUCAUACCUUAUUACUGUUUGAGAUGAUGUGGCAUGGCAUAAUUAAUAUGAGAAAUGUUGAGAUGACAUGGCAUGGCAUGAUUGAUAAAGAGAUAAUGUUGAGAUAGUAAAAAUGAAGUUUUGAGAAUAUAUAUGUAUAUUUAUAUUUUACAUUUCUGGGAAAGUAUACAGGUUUUACGGAGAGGGGUUACAACGUUUUGAGAAAUGUUUGGAUUUGGAAAAGAAUUGUUUUACUGACCCACUCAAUUUUGGUUUUGCGCCCCUCCAGGUUCAGGAAUCACAAAGGUGUGGUGACUACGAGGAAUUCGACGGUGUUCUGACAGAUUGGACAAAAUUAGGACUCACCUUCGGGUGUAUCAAUUUAAAUUGUAUCUUAAAGCUUCCGUACUGUGCAAAUGGUUACGUCACUCUCACGUGACGGCCAGCAUGCCCUCCUUCGGGACGGGGUGUGUCAGUUGGUAUCAGAGCAUGGUUGCAAUCUUGGACAUUUUGAGAAGUUCUAGUGAAUUCUGUCAGAACUACACCGCCUCGUAGCAAGCCACUUAGUUAGAGGAAUUUAGUCUCCCUAAUAUAACGGUUUAGGGGAAACUAUUAUUAUGGUGAUUCAGUCUAUUAUAAAAAGGGACAUUUUUAAGAUGGGUUAUGAGUUGAAUUUGAAUCACUUAAGAGAAAUGAUGAACCUGAGGGAGCGAAGUAACGGUUUAACCAUUUGGAAAAGAUGUUUCGGAUUAUGCAAGUCAAAGGAAUCUUCCUUCUGACAAGGGGUCGAGAUGACUACCUGGUUUGAGUUAUGAACGUGUAUCCUGAUGGAAGCAGGAGUAUUAAUUGUUGUCACCGGAGGAACAGCCGAUUUAAAAUUGUUUAAGGACUUGUUUAAGGAAAAGUUUAUCCCUCCGGCAUUUAUCGAUGGUAGUAAACAAGAGUUUACAAAUAUGAGACAAGGAAGGUGAUGAUCGAGGGAUAUUAUAGAAAGUUUUCAGACUUGCCUUGUUCCAUCCAGAUAUUGUUGUUAUUGGUGGAGGUGUUAUGUUGUUUUAAGCUGGGUGGCAAAAAGGGAAGUGGUAUUUUGGGUGACCACUAUCCAUUAUACUUCUUACCAGGAAUAUACGAGAUGCUGUUGAGUCUUGAGGACUCUGAGAACAUGAUCAACGAGAAUAAAGAAGAAUAAGAAAUGAAUGGGAAUUAAAAGAAGACGAUAAAGUUAAUGAUUCGUCAUAUCAAGGAGAUAGAAAGAUUCAGAGCUUCGAAAGAAGUGAAGCUAGAGUUAAUUCUUCCAGCUGAGGUUUUAAUGUCGCUGGUCAGAGUAAAAGUGAUGGAUAUACUGGUAAUCCCAGAUAUUUGAGACAAGGUGUCUCGAGUAAAGGAAAUGUACUUUGUGCAGCAGGUACAAAAUUAACACUUUGGGUAUGAAAUUAAUGAAUGUGUUUAUGUGAACAGAGGGGACACAGAAUUGUGAAUCGUCCCUAGAAUCAGUUGUACCCAACAGUUUCUAUGACAUCAUAGUGUUGAUUCAGCAGAGUUAUGGAUUUAGUAGUUUGGUCGGAUUGACCGUGAGUACAGAGAGAUUUGAUGAGUUAUAUGUUCAGCCGUACAGACCAUGAGAAGUGGAUUCGAUUGACACAUGAGAAAUUGGUGAGUUAUAGGCUCGGCCGUACCGACCACGCGGAGUGGAUCCGGCCGACGUAUUAUUGAGAUAAGAGUUGAAUCAGCCGUAUUGGUCAUUCUAGUUGACUUCGGCUGAUAUAUUUCUUAUUAUGUAUGUUAUUACCUAGAGAGUAGUAAAUAAAUGUAGUUGAGACGAGUGUAUGUAUUUUGCAUUGAGUAACAAAAUAGUAAUGUUAUAUCUUUGAGAGUGGUUGCCUACUUAUCGAGACAACGAUGAUUUAUCAGUAUUGCGGGCUGCAGACCGUAAUAUUAAUAACUCAUUCGUGGAUUCGUUAAGCAAGCAAACCGGUAGAUUAUUUUAUGUUAGUAUUGUACUUAUUCAGAAUGCUUAGUAGUAAUAGAGUAUGUAUUGUGUCGGUUAAAUUAUUUCCAUUAGAUUGGUUGGUUAUAAUUGUGACAAGACGGAAUGUUAAGGGAAACCAGUACUUUCCAUCGAUCUGGAUGACCAGAGAUUACUUUUGUAAGUAUGCAAAGUGGAUUGAGUCAGGCCGUUAUUUAUGCUGUGAGAGCAAAGAGAUUGUUUUCGAAAGGCUGUCAAAAAUAUUAGCUCGUGUGGUGCUAAAUGAUGUUGUUUGGAGUAGUGUGAAUAAUGUCAAAAAGGGGUUAGACUUUUCUUGAUGUCUUCCCUGAAAGUAUACCUGGAUUGCCUUCAGGCAGAGAUAUGAGGUUCACUAUUGAUUUGUUGCCAGGUAUAAAUCUAUGUUAAAGAUUGGUUCAGGAUGAGUUAAGGGAAUUGGAAAUUCAGUUGAAAGAAUUGGUUGAUAAAAGUUUCAUUCAACCUAGUACAACAUUUUUGAGGAGCCCCAGUUUGUUGGUGAGGAAGAGAAAAUGGACUUAGAGAUUGUUCAUUGAUUAUAGACAAUGGAGUCGGGUAACGAUUAAGAACCGUUAUCCAUGGUAAUGUACUGAUGUUUAUUUAACCAGCUCAGAAGUAAUUGCGAAGAUUCAAAGAUUGAAUUGAGAUCUGGUUACUACCAAUUGAAUAUUAUAAGUGACGUUGAUCAUAAGAUGGUUUUCUGGACUUGUUAUGGUCCUUAUGAAGUUUGGUGAUGCUAUGUGGAUACUCAUGCUGUUUUAUGAGUUGAUGGAUGAAGUAUUCCAAUAAUGCCUUGAUAGAUUGAUAUCAUUUUUAUUGAAGAUAUUCUGGCAUAUUCUGAGCCAGAGCAGAGCAUGUAAACGUAUUAAGUCGGUGAACCAAAGAUUGAGAGAACGUUGGUUGUAUGCUAAGUAGCAAAUGCUAAAGUUAGACGAAUCAGGUGGCAUUCUGAGAUUUGUUAUAUAUUCUUAAGGUAUUCAAGUGAAUCCUUAAAAGAUAGCAGAAAUUGAGAAAUUGGAACAACCACGAGCUGUAAUUGAGAUUCAGAAUUUCUUAGCUUACCAGGCUAUCUUGGAUGGUUGUGAAAGAUUUUUCAGUCAUUGCUUUGUCAUUGACGAGACUGUUGAGAAAAGAGGUUAUGUAUGAGUGGGAAGGAAAUUGUGAGCAAAGGAUUCAACAACUGAAGUAUUUCCUCACUCAUGCACGUAUUUUGGUAUUCCCAGAGAAUAGUGGUAAUCAUAAAUUUUUUAGUGAUGUUUCUUGAAUGGUAUUGGAUGCAUGUUGAUGCAAAUGUUAGGGUGAUUGGCAUACGUUUCACGAUAAAUGGAAUCUCAUAAGAUGAAUUACCCUACGGGUGACUUAGAAAUCAUGAUUACCAUUCUUGCUGUGAAGUUAUGAAGGCAUUAUAUUUGGUAAGAAUGCAAGAUUUUUACUAAUCCAAAAAGUCUUCAAUAUCCAUUACUUGGAAGGAUUUUGAUAUGAGGCAGCGAAAGUGAAUUGUAUUGCUUAAUGAACAUGAUUGUACGAUCAGGGUGAUCGUAAAGUUUGUUCUAACUGAAGCACUUGGUGAGAAGACUACAGUAAGAUUAAUGUCUGGCACGUUUGCCAAGAGUAUCAUCUUGUGGAUUGAAAACCAACGGAAGAAAAAUUAAGAAUGGAAGAUCGAGAAGAAGUUAUACUUGUUAAAUUUCAAGUUAGGCCUGUUUGGUAAGGUCGUACUUGAAACUUAAAUGCUUGACGAAGAAAUUUAAGAAUUAACCAAGGUAGAGAAAGAAGGUAAGUUAAAUCCUAAGUUAAUCGGACUUAAGUGUGAUUAUCGAAAAGUUUGGUGAAGUUGCUUACAAGCUUGUGAUGCCCUCAGAAUUGGUUAAGGUGCAAAAACAUAUUUUAUGAUUCGAUGCGUUGUCACUAGGUGGCAGAUUCGUCACAUGAGAUUCUGGUGUAACUAUUGAGAAUUAAAUUGGAUUCGACUUGAUAAGGAAUCAAGGACGACUUUGGAUUGGAAAAAGAAGGUCCUGAGAAUUAAGACAGAGUAAGUAGUAAAAGCUUUGUGAAGGAAAUCAUUCAGUAGAAAAGUAUGUGGGAGAAAGAGAAUCGGAUGAGAAAGAUUUACCCGAAGCUAUUGUUGGAGUAUGGUUGAUUUAGUUGGUUGCUGGAAUUUCGGGGACGAAAUUCUAUAAGGAGGGAAGAUUGUCACAGCCCGUCCCGGAAUUUUAAUUCCGAGGACAUGAAAAGACGAAAAUGCCCUUAAACGGACUAAGGGGCGAAAAUUUAACAAUUUGGAUUGAGUUGGACACGUGGGAUCCCCACACCCCUCAAUCCUCUCCCUAUUUUCUGCAUACUGUCUCUCUCUCUCUCCUCCCUCACGAAUCUCUCUCUCUCUGUCACUCUUCUUCUCCGUUCGAACAAAACCAACCACAAAACAACCUUAAACUUCCACCAACGACGGAGUUAAGACCACCAUCGAACUCCUGGAGACUCCACGAUCACGUAGACACCAAUUUCAGGUAAGUUUUACUUCGGGAAAACCUAGAUUUCUAAACUCCCCGUGAAAGUGCACUGUUCAUGAUCUUCGAAUUGACUUUGUUUUAGGACAAUCCAAGCUCACAGUGAGCUUAGUGAGGUUCCAAGGAAGCUCGGAGUGCUUCGUUGGAAGUUUUUUGGACGUAAGAACACGGAGAUCGAUAAGUUCAAAGUUUGGCCGGAGCUUUCGAGGCAUUUUCCGACGAAUCCCCGGCGAGUUAGGCGUCGAGGUAGGUAUCAAUCUCUUCGUCUCGUCAAGUACUACAACUUUCCUUUUUGUUUCACUCAAUUUCGUUGAGUAUUGAAGAAGUUAUACUCAUUUGAAAAAUACCCAGUUUCCGGCGACCUCCGAGGCUUUCGAGGCAGUUUCCGGCCAAACUACGGCUAACUAGGUGUUGGGAAAGGUACCAUUCUCUUUGUCUCUUCAAGGGCUACAACUUUCGUUUUUGAAUCACUUGAUUUCGUUGAGAAAUGACAAAGUUAUGGCAAUUUGAAAAACUGCCCAGAAAACGGCCGCCGGAAAAAACCAGUCCGGCGACCCAAGGAAGAAGAAGGUGCUACAGUAAAAAUAAAAAAUAAAAAUAAAAUUAUUUUAAAAAUAUGUCGACGUCCGUGACGUCGAGUAGAUCACUGUGGUAUAUUCAUAUACCUAAAUUGAACACCGUAUGAGAAAGUUAUUGAAGAUUGUUGGUUAGGUGUUCAAAUAACGUUUUAUAGUUUUCACAUUUAGGUGAAAAUGUGAAUUGAUGAUCCGACCGUUGGAUGGUAAUGAAAUUUUAGGAUGUUGUCCUAGAGGUAUAAUGUGGACCUCUGGAAGUUAUGGAUUUAAAAUCUGAGGGGUGGAUCUUCCGGAUCAAUCUACGUAGUGACGUAUUUUAUAUAAGUUAUAUAUUCUAUCGAUAUGAAUUCUGAGGUUGGAAUUGAUUAUUGUUUUAGGCGCCGAUCGUCAUGACGCCUUGGCGUAUUGUGCUAGGGAGUGUAGGGCGAACUCCAGGUGAGUGGGCAGUUUUGUUUUCCGUAUAUAUAUAUAUAUAUACUUAACGUUUUCCCAGAAAUUGAAAAUGCAUGAAAUUAUGUUUAAAAUGAAAUGCAUAUGAGUUAUGUGGAAAAACGGGAAGUGAAAUACCAUGCAUAGAAUUGAUAUGAAAAGUAUAUAGAAAUGUGAGUUGAAAUGUCAUGCAUGAAUUAAUAUAUGAUGCAUAUGUAUGAAUUGGUGCGGUGGACGCACAGGUAAGAAUUGAUUUAUGAUGCAUAUGUAUGAAAUGGUGCGGUGGACGCACAGAUGAGUAUUUAAUUACUGUUAUGAUGAUGAUGAUGAUAUAUAUUGAGCUCAAAUCCUGCACCAUGGUUUAGUGCUUAUAGUAUUCACCGCAUCGCACGCUCGCCUUGGAUCCAAGUAGAUGCUAGUCGUACAGUCCACGCGGAGUGGGUACGACAGACCAGUCGCGAGAGUGUGUUAGUGAGAUUCCGGCUGGUGGGUGACCUUAGAUUAUGUGCACAGAUGAUUUAUGAGAAGCACUAGAGCGUAACUUGUGUGCAGAAGGCCGGACGGGUCACAGAGGUGACUCCGGUAGAGUGAUAAUGAUAGAUUUUGAGCUUUAGGUUCAACCGUAUAGGGCUAUUAGAGGGCCUACGGUUGAUUACUUUCUUGCACCUGAUAUGAUUAUGUUGAUGCAUUCAUACCUUAUUACUGUUGAGAUGAUGUGGCAUGGCAUAAUUAAUAUGAGAAAUGUUGAGAUGACAUGGCAUGGCAUGAUUGAUAAAGAGAUAAUGUUGAGAUAGUAAAAAUGAAGUUUUGAGAAUAUAUAUGUAUAUUUAUAUUUUACAUUUCUGGGAAAGUAUACAGGUUUUACGGAGAGGGGUUACAACGUUUUGAGAAAUGUUUGGAUUUGG